RNAcentral lists this ribosomal RNA (292 nucleotides) under uncultured bacterium. RNAcentral's name for it is "partial 16S ribosomal RNA". It matches the Rfam family "Bacterial small subunit ribosomal RNA", at positions 505 to 796 of the family's 1533-position model. The record is from RNAcentral.
GUGCCAGCCGCCGCGGUAAAACGUAGGAGGCGAGCGUUAUCCGGAUUUACUGGGUGUAAAGCGUGUGCAGGCGGUACGGUAAGUUGGAUGUGAAAGCUCCUGGCUUAACUGGGAGAGGUCGUUCAAAACUACCGAACUUGAGUAUGGGAGAGGGAGGCGGAAUUCCGGGUGUAGUGGUGAAAUGCGUAGAUAUCCGGAGGAACACCAGUGGCGAAAGCGGCCUCCUGGCCCAAAACUGACGCUCAGACACGAAAGCUAGGGGAGCGAACGGGAUUAGAAACCCCCGUAGUCC